AACCUGGCGGCGUGCCUAUAAUGCAAGUCCAAGCAACUAUUUUCACCGGAGCUUGCUCCAUCGAAAAUAGUUGAGUGGCGGACGGGUGAGUAACACGUGGGCAACCUGCCCAUCAGAGGGGGAUAACACUUGGAAACAGGUGCUAAUACCGCAUAAUUCAUUUUCUCGCAUGAGAAGAUGAUAAAAGACGCUUCGGUGUCACUGAUGGAUGGGCCCGCGCUGCAUUAGUUAGUUGGUGGGGUAAUGGCCUACCAAGACCGUGAUGCAUAGCCGACCUGAGAGGGUGAUCGGCCACACUGGGACUGAGACACGGCCCAGACUCCUACGGGAGGCAGCAGUAGGGAAUCUUCGGCAAUGGACGAAAGUCUGACCGAGCAACGCCGCGUGAGUGAAGAAGGUUUUCGGAUCGUAAAACUCUGUUGUUAGAGAAGAACAAGUGGGAGAGUAACUGUUCCCACCUUGACGGUAUCUAACCAGAAAGCCACGGCUAACUACGUGCCAGCAGCCGCGGUAAU
RNAcentral lists this ribosomal RNA (515 nucleotides) under uncultured bacterium. RNAcentral describes it as "bacterial SSU rRNA". It matches the Rfam family "Bacterial small subunit ribosomal RNA", at positions 36 to 524 of the family's 1533-position model. The record is from RNAcentral.